CUGCUCGCUUCAGCAGUACAUAUACUAAAGUUAGAAAUAUACAGAGAAGAUUAGCAUGGCCCCUGCACAAAGAUAACACACAAAUUUAGUAAAGCAUUUCACACUUUU
This 108-nucleotide small nuclear RNA is filed under the name Procavia capensis (Cape rock hyrax). The record is from RNAcentral. Lineage: Eukaryota; Metazoa; Chordata; Mammalia; Hyracoidea; Procaviidae.